CCAAUAGCGUAUAUUAAAGUUGUUGCAGUUAAAAAGCUCGUAGUUGAAUUUCGAAAUUUUUUUAUCGGUUGAAUCAACAGGUUCGUACUGAUUUUAAAAAUUUCUACCUUCUGGAGAACCUUAAUGUCAUUUAUUUGAUGUUUUGGGAAACCAGGACUGUUACCUUGAAAAAAUUAGAGUGUUUAAAGCAGGCUUAUGUCUGAAUAUAUUAGCAUGGAAUAAUGAAAUAGGACGGCAUGGUUCUAUUUUGUUGGUUUCUAGGAUCACCGUAAUGAUUAAUAGGGAUAGUUGGGGGCAUUAGUAUUCAAUUGUCAGAGGUGAAAUUCUUGGAUUUAUUGAAGACUAACUUCUGCGAAAGCAUUUGCCAAGGAUGUUUUCAUUAAUCAAGAACGAAAGUUAGGGGAUCGAAGACGAUCAGAUACCGUCGUAGUCUUAACCAUAAACUAUGCCGACUAGGAAUCGGACGAAGUUAAUUUUUUAAUGACUCGUUCGGCGCCUUACG
RNAcentral lists this ribosomal RNA (502 nucleotides) under uncultured Glomeromycotina. RNAcentral describes it as "partial small subunit ribosomal RNA". It matches the Rfam family "Eukaryotic small subunit ribosomal RNA", at positions 591 to 1092 of the family's 1831-position model. Lineage: Eukaryota; Fungi; Glomeromycota. The record is from RNAcentral.